Molecule: long non-coding RNA, 2598 nt
Filed under: Salvia miltiorrhiza (redroot sage)
Lineage: Eukaryota; Viridiplantae; Streptophyta; Magnoliopsida; Lamiales; Lamiaceae
Description: long non-coding RNA (SMIL_LNC006205)
Source: RNAcentral
UGAGACCAAAUGUUGUUUAAUUACAAAAUUUGUAUCACGUGAACUUAUACAUAUAGGGACCAAGAAUGUGAUGAGCCAUAUGCAAUCUCUUGCAUAAAAUUCAAAAAUGUGAUUUACACAAAUUAAAGUAUGAUAUCAAAAAUACAUGUAACAUCAAGUUUAUCUUGAGGGCUUACAUUCAUAGAUACACAAAUGGAAUGUUCUAGAGAGAUCUAAGCCCACCAUGGGUCCUCUCCAGUUCUAAAAUCAGUCUCCACCCAUGGAACAAAAAUAACCUUCCCAUCAUCAAGGUCUGCAUGAGCCAAAGCCAAAGACUGCACAACAACAAAAAAUUACAAAUCAUAUCACAACAAAAUUCCCCCCCCAAAAAAAAAUUGAAAAAUCCCAAAUUUGAGACGAGCUCGGGGAGAGUCUUGUGUUCGACUGUCUCACUGUGAGUCGGGUCAAGAAAACGGAUCAAAACCCAUUCUUCAGUGUGGUAUUUGUAAUUAUAAAUACCAUCAAGAUUACAAAUGCGCCAUUGGAAUUUGGUUUGGGUUUUGGAUCUGGAUCUUGACCAAUCUCAUUGAGACGGUCUCCUAUUUUCGUAUCAUAUUUGUGUGAGACUGUCUCACCAUGAGUCGGGUCAAGAAAACGGAUCAAAACCCAUUCUUCAAUGUCGUAUUUGUAAUUGUAAUUACCAUCAAGAUUACAAAUACGCCAUUGGAAUUUGGUCCGGAUUUGGAUCUUGACCAAAUCUCACGUUGAGACGGUCUUCUAUUUUCGUAUCAUAACUAAACAAGAGUCAUCGUGGGCAUUCGUUCAAGCACAAGAACAAGAUAUAACGAAAUGUAACACGAAAAUAUAACGAAAAACGUCGUUGCAACUUACCAAGGGAGCAGGUCCCCUCACAACUUUUCCUUGGUUGUUGUAUUGCGAUCCGUGGCACGGGCACAUGAACUUGUUCUCAGCUUUGUUCCACGGCACGACGCAGCCAAGGUGGGUGCAGACGGCAUUGAUACCAUACGUCGCGAGUGUUCUGUCGUUCUCCACAACAAGGUAGGUGGGAUCACCCUGAAACAGAGUCAUCAAAGAAUCAAACACCAGAUGCUUCACUGGCAUAGCUAUCUUUCUAGCAUCCGAUGAACAAAUGGUUUUUACCUUCAAUCCCUGUGUGAGGGUCCGGUCACCGGGCCCGUGUGUUUUGAGCCAUUCGACUGCAACGACGUCGUUUCCCAACGCAUCCUUGGCGGGAGUGCCGCCUCCAUCCCCUCCGGAGCUGUUCUCAGUCACCAGAUCACACACGGAGUCAUGAUGCACGUAAAAGUAAUGUACAAACUGAUAUGAUAGAAUUUCAUCAACAUUGGCUGGUUGCAGAUUAGGAUAUCGAGCCCUAUGAAUAUUAAACACGAAGCCCUCAAGAAGCAGAACCGCUCAAGACAUAGAGAAUCGUCAAUCUAUAGGAUUUUUGAGCAAAUUGUUAUGCAAAAGCCCCUGUCAUCAAACCCAAUCAUAAGAAAAUUGCCUUCUAAAAAUCUCGAAAUUUAAAAAAUACAAUUCCUAUGAAGAUUUUUUUUUCUGCAUCCACCCCUGCUCAGUAGUGCCCUUGUACACCCAUCACAAUGAUCUCACAAAUCUAACGUAAUCCAAAUACUUUGAAGAAGCUUAUAAGCUCGUUAGGAGGCUUAUUCUACCAAAUACUUUGAAGAAGCUUAUAAGCUGCACCUUAUAAAUUACUCCCUCUGUCCAUCGAAAGUAUGGCACUUUUGAUGGGCACAAGUUUUAAGAAAAUUAGUGGUGAUUUUUAUGUAGUUGAGAAAGGGUCCCACCAAAAUUUGAAGUGAGUGGUUGAAAGUGGUGGAAUCAUGUCUUAAAAUGGAAAGUGUCAUACUUUUCGUGGACACCAAAAAUGGCAAAAGUGUCAUACUUUUUGUGGACGGAUGAAGUAUUUUAAAGAGCUUAUAAGCUCAGCCAAACACUCUCACAAUCAUACGAUAGAACGAUUAGUCACCUCACCGGACUUUUAGGCGAAAUCUUUUUUUCCAUCUCACCCAAUAAAACAGUUAACAUUGUUCCACUCCCAUUUAAGAAUCCGACGAGAUGACUCGUCGUUCCUUCACUUAACGGUUUAUGGCGCCAUAUUUUUGAAAGUUGAGGGUUUUUUAACGGAAAACGAAAACUCGAGACAUUUUCUCGAAAACGCUAAAAGUUAAACGACAAAAAACAUGAUUAACAUGUAAAAACAUGAUCUAUUUUCCCAGUGAUUACUCAAAUGCCUCAAUCAGAGUUGAUCAAACAAUCAACUCCACACAAUCAAUUCAAUUCAAUUCAACAAAAAUCUACCAAAACUAGAGAGAGAGAGAGAGGAAACUGACCCAGGCGGAACAAAGAAGUAAGUGUAAGGCAACAACAUCCCGACGGAGGGAAGAGAAAUGGCGCCAAGCAGCAGCAGAUUCAUGAGCUCCCUCUUCCCCAUGUCAGGCACCCGAUCGGCCGGCACGCUCGUCGCCAUACACCUGACCUUCAUCCCCUUUCCCUUCCCGAGCUUCGCCACCGCCACGUUCGCGCAUCGGUUCAUCCCAUUCUUCCCGGAGCACAGCUGAUCGAUCACAAUUUUUU